UGCUGUCACUUAUAGAUGGAUCCGCGCUGCAUUAGCUAGUUGGUAAGGUAACGGCUUACCAAGGCAACGAUGCAUAGCCGACCUGAGAGGGUGAUCGGCCACACUGGAACUGAGACACGGUCCAGACUCCUACGGGAGGCAGCAGUAGGGAAUCUUCCGCAAUGGGCGAAAGCCUGACGGAGCAACGCCGCGUGAGUGAUGAAGGUCUUCGGAUCGUAAAACUCUGUUAUUAGGGAAGAA
Molecule: ribosomal RNA, 240 nt
Filed under: Staphylococcus aureus
Lineage: Bacteria; Bacillati; Bacillota; Bacilli; Caryophanales; Staphylococcaceae
Description: partial 16S ribosomal RNA
Rfam family: Bacterial small subunit ribosomal RNA
Source: RNAcentral